This 891-nucleotide ribosomal RNA is filed under the name uncultured fungus. RNAcentral's name for it is "bacterial SSU rRNA". It matches the Rfam family "Eukaryotic small subunit ribosomal RNA", at positions 670 to 1431 of the family's 1831-position model. The record is from RNAcentral. Lineage: Eukaryota; Fungi.
GCUGCUACUAUGCGCAUCAGAGCAGAUGUACUGAGAGUGCACCAUAUGCGGUGUGAAAUACGCACAGAUGCGUAAGGAGAAAAUACCGCAUCAGGCGCCAUUCGCCAUUCAGGCUGCGCAACUGUUGGGAAGGGCGAUCGGUGCGGGCCUCUUCGCUAUUACGCCAGCUGGCGAAAGGGGGAUGUGCUGCAAGGCGAUUAAGUUGGGUAACGCCAGGGUUUUCCCAGUCACGACGUUGUAAAACGACGGCCAGUGCCAAGCUUGCAUGCCUGCAGGUCGACGAUUUUAGCAUGGAAUAAUGGAAUAGGACUUUGUUUCUAUUUUGUUGGUUUUCAGGAACGAAGUAAUGAUUAAUAGGGAUAGUUGGGGGCAUUAGUAUUUCAUAGUCAGAGGUGAAAUUCUUGGAUUUAUGAAAGACUAACUUCUGCGAAAGCAUUUGCCAAGGAUGUUUUCAUUAAUCAAGAACGAAAGUUAGGGGAUCGAAGAUGAUCAGAUACCGUCGUAGUCUUAACCAUAAACUAUGCCGACUAGGGAUCGGACAGUGUUAAUUUAUGACCUGUUCGGCACCUUAUGAGAAAUCAAAGUUUUUGGGUUCCGGGGGGAGUAUGGUCGCAAGGCUGAAACUUAAAGGAAUUGACGGAAGGGCACCACCAGGAGUGGAGCCUGCGGCUUAAUUUGACUCAACACGGGGAAACUCACCAGGUCCAGACAUAGUAAGGAUUGACAGAUUGAGAGCUCUUUCUUGAUUUUGUGGGUGGUGGUGCAUGGCCGUUCUUAGUUGGUGGAGUGAUUUGUCUGCUUAAUUGCGAUAACGAACGAGACCUUAACCUACUAGAUAGUGCUGCUAGCUUUUGCUGGUAUAGUCACUUCUUAGAGGGACUAUCGAUUUCA